This is a long non-coding RNA of Phycodurus eques (leafy seadragon), 1497 nucleotides long. RefSeq lists it as uncharacterized. The record is from RefSeq and is a predicted model, not a curated record. The transcript has 2 exons. Lineage: Eukaryota; Metazoa; Chordata; Actinopteri; Syngnathiformes; Syngnathidae.
GGCACCAACGGCUGAUGUCGCGGCAAACGCCAAUCAUUCUGCAUAGCAACGAUGACGUCAAUGGACCCUGGACCAACCAGACGAAGACAACUCUAUACUUCCUCUUUGAAAAAUUGUAUAAGACUGGGUCAGAUAGUUUUGUUCGGUCAACACUAUCUCUGCUAAGGCUAAAAUAGGCAUACCUGCUAGAGGACAGACUCCUCUGUCAGGAAUAAAUUGAUUGGCUUUUAACACGUCGUUAUAAUCGUAGUUCUUUCACGAAAAGAACAUGCUCGGAACCUUGAGAGUUAAUUGGUGAUUUUAAAAACACAGGUUCCUUUAGUUUCCAUUGUCCUCGGGCGCCUCUGGUGCCACCACAUGCGCGAACGCCCGCCGCAACCAAGCCGGCGGGGUUCUCGAUCAAAGAAGGCUUUGAUGCGGCUUUGAUCGUUUUUCCUAGCCACGAUCGGUCGGCGGGACCUCAGCGAGCAACUACCGGCAUCCUGUACCAGUCCUGCACGCAUCUGAGGGCCAGUGCUCAGCCCACCACCAAUUCAAACGGCAGGAAAGUUAUGAGUGCAUCCAAACGGGACCACAACUUUCCUUUUCUUGUUUUUAUUUUUGUGCAUCUUUUUCCUCCAACCAAACCUGCUUCGUUUCUGCCUGAGGUGCGGAGGAAGACCACUCCCCAAAGACCAGCUGAUCAGCAUUCCUCUUUCUCCUGCUCCACCUCGUCCACGCGAUCCUGCAACUAUUGGCGGGAGAGGCGUGAGCGGUAGCGGCGGCGCGAGGGGCCAGUGCAGUUCACCCACCUGCUGCGUCUUGGCGUGCGCCAGCUGCGCCGUCUGCAGCUGCGUCCUGAUCUCCACGCCCUUGGCACGCUCAUCCCUCAGCUGCGACAUCAGCUCAGCCAUCUUGGCUGCGGCAGUGUCGUAACACGCCUUCUGCGUGUGCUGACUCUGCAAAACACGUCAGGCGUCACACCACGCUGCCGCACGGGCCGCCGGCAACCAUUUUGCUUGAAAAUUGGACGUUUGAGGAGACGGAACGAUCGAGAGACGGGAAAACGAAGCUUUUGUGAAGCGCUGAUGAUGGUUUGGAAAAUGCCGUCAUUACGUGGGUCGGUUUCAGUAGCAGCAGGACAAGAUUUUCAACUGAAACUUGUCAACCAAUCGGAGAAGGGCUUCCAUGAGCCGAAAUGAGACGGUCGAGGACAAAUGAUCAAGUUCUACCAUUUUACUCCAAUUUGAAGGCGUUUUUUGGACUGGAUAUUCUUUAGGCGAUAUCACAUAAACUCAAUUUGUCCACAAGCCAUCAUCCGAUUUUCAAAAUUCUUGCUGCGCUGUAAUCAAGCUGAAGUGGCUAUUCCAACGACAAACAGCAUUUUGACAGACGUUCAUUUUUGGCAAAUCUUGUCACUGGUGGUUCAACAUAUAAAUGCCAUAAUUCAUAUAUACAUACACAUAUAUAUAUAUAUAUAUAUAUAUAUAUAUAUAUAUAUAUAUAUAUAUAUACAUA